This is a non-coding RNA of Arachis ipaensis, 520 nucleotides long. Lineage: Eukaryota; Viridiplantae; Streptophyta; Magnoliopsida; Fabales; Fabaceae. The record is from RefSeq and is a predicted model, not a curated record.
CUCCUUCGUGAAUAAAAUCCAAAUGCCCCUUAGCCACCAUUCACUAACCCUAGCCCCCAAACCAAAAUAUUAGCCUCUUCCACGGAUCUGCCGCCACCGUCCAUCGUUGAAGGCGCCUCCGCGGCCUCCUCCUUCCCCCUGUCCCAAACCCAAAUUCCUAGCUCAGCACGUCGUCGUUGCAUUGUCUUCUAGCUUCGUUGUUCGAGGCCUCGAGUUCGAGCUGCUCGCCGUGGUGUCUUGCUCGUCUCGCCAUCGUUGUCUUGCUCUUAGUCAAGUUUUUUCAGUUAAACCACGGUUGGACCAGUGAAUCGGUGACUAGAGCGGUUUGAUGACUGGUGCAGUUCUCAGAACCUUGCUUUCAAUACAUAUCCUCUUUCUUUCUUAACACUCUCAACUUCCCUUCUUUCUCUCUCUUAAAAUUCAAAAACCAAAUCACUCCCCUAGCAACCAGUGCUCAUCUUCAUCAGUGUCACCAUCUUCAUCUUUACCUUCCAUCAACAUCAACACUUUCAUUUAACAA